This 138-nucleotide small nucleolar RNA is filed under the name Ornithorhynchus anatinus (platypus). The record is from RNAcentral. Lineage: Eukaryota; Metazoa; Chordata; Mammalia; Monotremata; Ornithorhynchidae.
CCCCUCUCAGGGUCAUACCUGGAGAGUUUCCAGUACUCUACCAGUCUCAGCUAAGGGAGGGAGAGUCAAGCAGAGGCAAACCCAUUCAAUUCCUAGCUUGGCCAGUGGCUAGAGAGUGGAAGGCAAUCUGUUCCAAGU